RNAcentral lists this unclassified non-coding RNA (377 nucleotides) under uncultured Gammaproteobacteria bacterium. Its description in RNAcentral is "contains 16S-23S intergenic spacer region". The record is from RNAcentral. Lineage: Bacteria; Pseudomonadati; Pseudomonadota; Gammaproteobacteria.
UCCGGUUUGUCACCGGCAGUCUCGCUAAAGUGCCCAACCAAAUGAUGGCAAUUAGCGACAAGGGUUGCGCUCGUUGCGGGACUUAACCCAACAUCUCACGACACGAGCUGACGACAGCCAUGCAGCACCUGUGUCCAGGCUCCCGAAGGCACCCCCGGAUCUCUCCAGGGUUCCUGGCAUGUCAAGGGUAGGUAAGGUUUUUCGCGUUGCAUCGAAUUAAUCCACAUCAUCCACCGCUUGUGCGGGUCCCCGUCAAUUCCUUUGAGUUUUAACCUUGCGGCCGUACUCCCCAGGCGGUCGACUUCACGCGUUAGCUGCGUCACUCAGCGCGUUACCGCACCGAACGACUAGUCGACAUCGUUUAGGGCGUGGACUAC